UGGGGAAUAUUGCACAAUGGGCGCAAGCCUGAUGCAGCGACGCCGCGUGCGGGAUGGAGGCCUUCGGGUUGUAAACCGCUUUUGUUCAAGGGCAAGGCACGGCUUCGGGCCGUGUUGAGUGGAUUGUUCGAAUAAGCACCGGCUAACUACGUGCCAGCAGCCGCGGUAAUACGUAGGGUGCGAGCGUUAUCCGGAUUUAUUGGGCGUAAAGGGCUCGUAGGCGGUUCGUCGCGUCCGGUGUGAAAGUCCAUCGCCUAACGGUGGAUCUGCGCCGGGUACGGGCGGGCUGGAGUGCGGUAGGGGAGACUGGAAUUCCUGGUGUAACGGUGGAAUGUGUAGAUAUCGGGAAGAACACCAAUGGCGAAGGCAGGUCUCUGGGCCGUUACUGACGCUGAGGAGCGAAAGCGUGGGGAGCGAACAGG
Molecule: ribosomal RNA, 422 nt
Filed under: Bacillota bacterium
Lineage: Bacteria; Bacillati; Bacillota
Description: Firmicutes bacterium partial 16S ribosomal RNA
Rfam family: Bacterial small subunit ribosomal RNA
Source: RNAcentral